RNAcentral lists this ribosomal RNA (465 nucleotides) under uncultured bacterium. RNAcentral's name for it is "partial 16S ribosomal RNA". It matches the Rfam family "Bacterial small subunit ribosomal RNA", at positions 28 to 507 of the family's 1533-position model. The record is from RNAcentral.
GACGAACGCUGGCGGCGUGCUUAACACAUGCAAGUCGAACGGAAAGGCCCCUUUGGGGGUACUCGAGUGGCGAACGGGUGAGUAACACGUGAGUAACCUGCCCUUGACUUCGGGAUAACUUCAGGAAACUGGGGCUAAUACCGGAUAGGAAUCCUUGCUGCAUGGUGGGGGUUGGAAAGCUUCGGCGGUUUUGGAUGGACUGGCGGCUUAUCAGCUUGUUGGUGGGGUAGUGGCUUACCAAGGCUUUGACGGGUAGCCGGCCUGAGAGGGCGACCGGCCACAUUGGGACUGAGAGACGGCCCAGACGCCGACGGGAGGCAGAAGUGGGGAAUAUUGCACAAGGGGCGGAAGCCGGAUGCAGCAACGCCGCGUGCGGGAUGACGGCCUUCGGGUUGGAAACCGCGUUCAGCAGGGGCGAAGCUUGUGGUGACGGUACCUGCAGAAGAAGCACCGGCUAACUACGUG